Molecule: ribosomal RNA, 242 nt
Filed under: uncultured bacterium
Lineage: Bacteria
Description: partial 16S ribosomal RNA
Rfam family: Bacterial small subunit ribosomal RNA
Source: RNAcentral
AGUGGCGAACGGGUGAGUAAUACAUAAGCAACCUACCCACGAAGACUGGGAUAAUCUCUGGAAAUGGGGACUAAUACCGGAUAGGUAAUCGGAAGGCAUCUUCUGGUUAUUAAAGGUUAAAAACACUGGUGGAUGGGCUUAUGGCGCAUUAGUUAGUUGGUGAGGUAACGGCCCACCAAGACGAUGAUGCGUAGCCGGCCUGAGAGGGUGAACGGCCACAUUGGGACUGAGACACGGCCCAG